GGAGGUAUAACUCAGUGGUAGAGUAUGUGGUUUAGCAUGAGCAAGGUCCUGGGUUCAAUCCCCAGUACCUCCA
Molecule: transfer RNA, 73 nt
Filed under: Vicugna pacos (alpaca)
Lineage: Eukaryota; Metazoa; Chordata; Mammalia; Artiodactyla; Camelidae
Description: tRNA-Und (NNN) (tRNA-Und-NNN-39-1)
Rfam family: tRNA
About the family: Transfer RNA (tRNA) molecules are approximately 80 nucleotides in length. Their secondary structure includes four short double-helical elements and three loops (D, anti-codon, and T loops).
Source: Rfam by way of RNAcentral